Molecule: transfer RNA, 72 nt
Filed under: Lachnospiraceae bacterium A2
Lineage: Bacteria; Bacillati; Bacillota; Clostridia; Lachnospirales; Lachnospiraceae
Rfam family: tRNA
About the family: Transfer RNA (tRNA) molecules are approximately 80 nucleotides in length. Their secondary structure includes four short double-helical elements and three loops (D, anti-codon, and T loops).
Source: Rfam by way of RNAcentral
AGGGAUAUCGCCAAACGGUAAGGCACAGGACUUUGACUGCUGUAUUUCCGGGUUCGAAUCCCGGUAGCCCAG